CAGGCCUAACACAUGCAAGUCGAACGAGAAAGUGGAGCAAUCCAUGAGUAAAGUGGCGACCGGGUGAGUAACACGUGACUAACCUACCUUCGAGUGGGGGAUAACCUCGGGAAACCGAGGCUAAUACCGCAUAACAUCGCAAGAUCAAAGCAGCAAUGCGCUGGAAGAGGGGGUCGCGGCUGAUUAGCCAGUUGGCGGGGUAACGGCCCACCAAAGCGAAGAUCGGUAGCCGGCCUGAGAGGGCGCACGGCCACACUGGAACUGAAACACGGUCCAGACUCCUACGGGAGGCAGCAGUGGGGAAUUUUGCGCAAUGGGGGAAACCCUGACGCAGCAACGCCGCGUGGAGGAUGAAGUCCCUUGGGACGUAAACUCCUUUCGACCGGGACGAUUAUGACGGUACCGGUGGAAGAAGCCCCGGCUAACUUCGUGCCAGCAGCCGCGGUAAUACA
RNAcentral lists this ribosomal RNA (452 nucleotides) under uncultured Acidobacteriota bacterium. RNAcentral describes it as "bacterial SSU rRNA". It matches the Rfam family "Bacterial small subunit ribosomal RNA", at positions 43 to 527 of the family's 1533-position model. Lineage: Bacteria; Pseudomonadati; Acidobacteriota. The record is from RNAcentral.